GACGAACGCUGGCGGCGUGCUUAACACAUGCAAGUCGAACGGAAAGGCCCUGCUUUUGUGGGGUGCUCGAGUGGCGAACGGGUGAGUAACACGUGAGUAACCUGCCCUUGACUUUGGGAUAACUUCAGGAAACUGGGGCUAAUACCGGAUAGGAGCUCCUGCUGCAUGGUGGGGGUUGGAAAGUUUCGGAGGUUGGGGAUGGACUCGCGGCUUAUCAGCUUGUUGGUGGGGUAGUGGCUUACCAAGGCUUUGACGGGUAGCCGGCCUGAGAGGGUGACCGGCCACAUUGGGACUGAGAUACGGCCCAGACUCCUACGGGAGGCAGCAGUGGGGAAUAUUGCACAAUGGGCGGAAGCCUGAUGCAGCAACGCCGCGUGCGGGAUGACGGCCUGCGGGUUGUAAACCGCUUUCGCCUGUGACGAAGCGUGAGUGACGGUAAUGUGUAAAGAAGCACCGGCUAACUACGUG
Molecule: ribosomal RNA, 468 nt
Filed under: uncultured bacterium
Lineage: Bacteria
Description: partial 16S ribosomal RNA
Rfam family: Bacterial small subunit ribosomal RNA
Source: RNAcentral